Molecule: ribosomal RNA, 533 nt
Filed under: Acalles sp. JJA-2007
Lineage: Eukaryota; Metazoa; Arthropoda; Insecta; Coleoptera; Curculionidae
Description: partial 16S ribosomal RNA
Rfam family: Bacterial large subunit ribosomal RNA (bases 384-533)
Source: RNAcentral
GGCUUUUUGUAAUUAAUUUAAGGUCGGGCCUGCUCAAUGAGGAUUUAAAUAGCCGCGGUAUUUUGACCGUGCGAAGGUAGCAUAAUCAUUAGUUUUUUAAAUGGAAGCUAGAAUGAAGGGUUUGAUGAAAAAAUGACUGUCUCUAUUUAAUUUUUUUAAGAAAUUUAUUUUUAAGUUAAAAAGCUUAAAUUUUUAUUAAAGACGAGAAGACCCUAUAGAGUUUUAUAUUAUAAGAAAUUAAUAUUAUUUAGUAUUUAGUAAUUUGAUUUUUGAAAGUAUUUAAUUGGGGUGAUUAAAAAAUUUAAUAAACUUUUUUUAUAAUAAUACAUUUAUUUAUGAAUAUUUGAUCCUUAUAAAAGAUUAAAAGAUAAAAUUACCUUAGGGAUAACAGCGUAAUAUUUCUUAGAGUUCUUAUCAAAAGAAGUGAUUGCGACCUCGAUGUUGGAUUAAAUUAUAAUAUUGGUGUAGUAGCUGGUAUAAAGAGUCUGUUCGACUUUGAAAAUUUUACAUGAUCUGAGUUUAAACCGGUGUAA